Molecule: ribosomal RNA, 497 nt
Filed under: uncultured bacterium
Lineage: Bacteria
Description: partial 16S ribosomal RNA
Rfam family: Bacterial small subunit ribosomal RNA
Source: RNAcentral
ACUCAAAUGAAUAGACGGGGGCCCGCACAAGCGGCGGAGCAUGUUGCUUAAUUCGAUGCAACGCGAAGAACCUCACCUAGGUUGAACUACGCGGGAAAAGCCACAGAGAUGUGGUGUCCUUCGGGGUCCGCGAUAGGUGGUGCAUGGCUGUCGUCAGCUCGUGUCGUGAGAUGUUGGGUUAAGUCCCGCAACGAGCGCAACCCUUGUCCUGUGUUGCCAGCAUGUAAUGAUGGGGACUCGCAGGAGACUGCCGGGGUCAACUCGGAGGAAGGUGGGGACGACGUCAAGUCAUCAUGCCCCUUACGUCUAGGGCUGCAAACAUGCUACAAUGGCCGGUACAACGAGCUGCGAAACCGCGAGGUUUAGCGAAUCUCUUAAAGCCGGUCUCAGUUCGGAUCGGAGUCUGCAACUCGACUCCGUGAAGCUGGAGUCGCUAGUAAUCCCGGAUCAGCAUUGCCGGGGUGAAUACGUUCCCGGGCCUUGCACACACCGCCCGU